This 407-nucleotide ribosomal RNA is filed under the name uncultured bacterium. Its description in RNAcentral is "partial 16S ribosomal RNA". It matches the Rfam family "Bacterial small subunit ribosomal RNA", at positions 30 to 526 of the family's 1533-position model. The record is from RNAcentral.
AUUGAACGCUGGCGGCAGGCCUAACACAUGCAAGUCGAGCGGAGCGGCGGACGGGUGAGUAAUGCCUAGGAAUCUGCCUGGUAGUGGGGGAUAACGUCCGGAAACGGGCGCUAAUACCGCAUCCUAUCAGAUGAGCCUAGGUCGGAUUAGCUAGUUGGUGGGGUAAAGGCCGACCAAGGCGACGAUCCGUAACUGGUCGGAGAGGAUGAUCAGUCACACGGGAACGGAGACACGGUCCAGACUCCUACGGGAGGCAGCAGUGGGGAAUAUUGGACAAUGGGCGCAAUCCUGAUCCAGCCAUGCCGCGUGUGUGAAGAAGGUCUUCGGAUUGUAAAGCACUUUAAGUUGGUAGACGUUACCAACAGAAUAAGCACCGGCUAAGUCCGUGCCAGCAGCCGCGGUAAUAC